GUGAAGCAUCCUGUUAAGUCAGGCAACGAGCGAGACCCACGCCCACAGUUGCCAGCGUACUCUCUGGAGUGACGGGUACACUGUGGGGACCGCCGCUGCUAAAGCGGAGGAAGGAAUGGGCAACGGUAGGUCAGUAUGCCCCGAAUAUCCCGGGCUACACGCGAGCUACAAUGGUUGGUACAAUGGGUAUCUACCCCGAAAGGGGACGGGAAUCUCCUAAAACCAAUCUUAGUUCGGAUUGAGGGCUGCAACUCGCCCUCAUGAAGCUGGAAUCCGUAGUAAUCGCGUUUCAACAGAACGCGGUGAAUACGUCCCUGCUCCUU
RNAcentral lists this ribosomal RNA (323 nucleotides) under uncultured Methanosaeta sp. Its description in RNAcentral is "bacterial SSU rRNA". It matches the Rfam family "Archaeal small subunit ribosomal RNA", at positions 1016 to 1338 of the family's 1478-position model. The record is from RNAcentral. Lineage: Archaea; Methanobacteriati; Methanobacteriota; Methanomicrobia; Methanotrichales; Methanotrichaceae.